UACAGGGGGUGCAAACGUUGCUCGGAAUCAUUGGGCGUAAAGCGCACGUAGGCGGUUCGUUAUGUCGGAUGUGAAAGCCCUUGGCUUAACCGAGGAAGUGCAUCCGAAACUGGCGAGCUAGAGUACGAAAGAGGAUCGCGGAAUUCCCGGUGUAGAGGUGAAAUGCGUAGAUAUCGGGAGGAACACCAGUGGCGAAGGCGGCUUCCUGGACCGGUUCUGACACUGAGGAGCGAAAGCGUGGGGAGCGAUCCGG
RNAcentral lists this ribosomal RNA (253 nucleotides) under uncultured bacterium. RNAcentral describes it as "partial 16S ribosomal RNA". It matches the Rfam family "Bacterial small subunit ribosomal RNA", at positions 524 to 776 of the family's 1533-position model. The record is from RNAcentral.